This 572-nucleotide long non-coding RNA is filed under the name Carica papaya (papaya). RNAcentral describes it as "long non-coding RNA (CPAP_LNC003997)". The record is from RNAcentral. Lineage: Eukaryota; Viridiplantae; Streptophyta; Magnoliopsida; Brassicales; Caricaceae.
UUUUGGGAAAAAGGGGUGAAAAUUUGGAUUAUGGGGGUGUUUUUGAAAAGAAAAUCAGAAACCGGGGGUCAAAAAGUAAUUUAAAAAAGUUGUGCCACGUCAACACCACGUCAGCAGCCACGUCAGUGGCCCGGUCAGCAGCCUCGGCCAACCAGAACGCGCCGCGUGGCAAGGACACGCUGACCAGGGGACGGGCCACGGGGGCGAUCCGCGUGCGCGCGAUCGGACGGCCCAGAUCCGUUCCCGCGCGCAAGGACAGCCCAGAUCAAACGUGUGCACGGACGGCCCAGAUUCACGCGCACGGACGGCCCAGAUUCAAUCAGGCAUGGACGGCCCAGAUUGCAUCGCAAUGAACGGCCCAGAUUUAAUCCCAAUUAAAUCGCGAUCGAACGGCCCAGAUUCAAUCUUGAUGGACGGUCAAGAUUAAAAGGCAAAGGGUAUAAAUAACCCCACCCACACCUGACCAAAGAAACCCUAGCCGCCAGUGCUCGCCAGAGAAGAAGAACCAGACGCCGGAGGAGCCGGCCGCCGCCACCCGCCGCCGCACCAGGGAAGUUUCCGACCGCCGAUCA